GGUUUAAUUCGAAGCAACGCGAAGAACCUUACCAGGCCUUGACAUGCAGAGAACUUUCCAGAGAUGGAUUGGUGCCUUCGGGAACUCUGACACAGGUGCUGCAUGGCUGUCGUCAGCUCGUGUCGUGAGAUGUUGGGUUAAGUCCCACAACGAGCGCAACCCCUAUUGCUAGUUACCAUCAUUAAGUUGGGGACUCUAGCGAGACUGCCAGUGAUAAACUGGAGGAAGGUGGGGAUGACGUCAAAUCAUCAUGCCCCUUAUGACCUGGGCUACAAACGUGAUACAAUGGCUGGAACAAAGGGAUGCGAAGCAGUGAUGUGGAGCGAAACCCAUAAAAACAGUCUCAGUUCGGAUUGAAGUCUGCAACUCGACUUCAUGAAGUCGGAAUCGCUAGUAAUCGCGGAUCAGAACGCCGCGGUGAAUACGUUCUCGGGGUUU
This 438-nucleotide ribosomal RNA is filed under the name uncultured Acholeplasma sp. Its description in RNAcentral is "bacterial SSU rRNA". It matches the Rfam family "Bacterial small subunit ribosomal RNA", at positions 943 to 1382 of the family's 1533-position model. The record is from RNAcentral. Lineage: Bacteria; Bacillati; Mycoplasmatota; Mollicutes; Acholeplasmatales; Acholeplasmataceae.